RNAcentral lists this ribosomal RNA (274 nucleotides) under uncultured bacterium. RNAcentral describes it as "partial 16S ribosomal RNA". It matches the Rfam family "Bacterial small subunit ribosomal RNA", at positions 523 to 796 of the family's 1533-position model. The record is from RNAcentral.
AUACGGAGGGUGCAAGCGUUACUCGGAAUCACUGGGCGUAAAGCGCGCGCAGGCGGCCUUUUAAGUUGGAUGUGAAAGCCUACGGCUCAACCGUAGAACUGCAUCCAAAACUAUUAGACUAGAGUGUGGGAGAGGAAGAUGGAAUUAGUUGUGUAGGGGUAAAAUCCGUAGAGAUAACUAGGAAUACCAAAAGCGAAGGCAAUCUUCUGGAACACUACUGACGCUGAGGCGCGAAAGCGUGGGGAGCAAACAGGAUUAGAUACCCUAGUAGUCC